RNAcentral lists this small RNA (127 nucleotides) under Marmota monax (woodchuck). The record is from RNAcentral. Lineage: Eukaryota; Metazoa; Chordata; Mammalia; Rodentia; Sciuridae.
GCUGGGCAUGGUGGCGCAUGCCUGUAAUCCUAGCCACUUGGGAGGCUGAGACAGGAGGAUCACAAGUUCAAACACAGCUUCAGCAACUUAGCAAGGCCCUAAGCAACUCAGAGAGACUCUGUCUCUA